GACGGGGGGUCCUAGCGUUGUUCGGAAUCAUUGGGCGUAAAGCGGGCGUAGGCGGCCAUGUAAGUCAGGAGUGAAAGCCCUGGGCUCAACCCAGGAAGUGCUUUUGAAACUGCAUGGCUUGAAUGUGGGAGAGGAUAGUGGAAUUCCUGGUGUAGUGGUGAAAUACGUAGAUAUCAGGAGGAACACCGGUGGCGAAGGCGGCUAUCUGGCCCAACAUUGACGCUGAGGUCCGAAAGCGUGGGGAUCAAACAGG
RNAcentral lists this ribosomal RNA (253 nucleotides) under uncultured bacterium. RNAcentral describes it as "partial 16S ribosomal RNA". It matches the Rfam family "Bacterial small subunit ribosomal RNA", at positions 524 to 776 of the family's 1533-position model. The record is from RNAcentral.